AAGAAACAUUUGCCUUCAACUGCAAGACAAGAACGAAAUUCCACACCAGAGUUCCCAAACACACAGUCCCCUGAAGGAAACAAACAAACAAAAUAAAACAUGGAAACAAAUCAGGCUGGGAACUUGAGCAUACAUCAGAUGAGCAGGGCAGGAGCCGAAGACCUCCCACCCCAUCCCAUCCCCAACCUGCUGCUGACCAUUGCAAAUUGAUGAAGCCCCUGCUGGGUUGAUACCAUGGUGCUGAUUGAGAACUCCCAAGGGAGACUGCCCUCCCACCAUCUCACCUGAAGGAAACAGGAUCACCAGGAAGAAGAAGACAGUUGGAAGAUACAGGUUCAUGGCUGCCUAGGGCACAGAGCUGCUCCUCCCCUGGCUGGCUGGUGGGGAGGUGGCUUUAUAGAGCCUGGCUGAGAUGGGUGGGGCUGGACAGUGGCCUUUUUCUUCCUGGGAGCAUACAGCUUCUGCAGGGUUGGAGGAAGAACAACCCUUUGUCAUUCAGCAUGCUAGGCAACUGCCUCCUUUUCUACAAACCACCCGAGAGGAAAGGGCUCAGCUAGGAGCAAAAUGUUUCCCCUGAGCAAAGCUAGACUGGAAACCAGGCUCUUCAUGCCUGGCCCCAAUACAAUUCCUCUCACACCUCAAAAAUGUAGGGUUAGGGUCUACACUGGUCUUCCUUCCCUCCUUAGUCCCUCUGAGAAAUCAGGGAAGUGCUUGUCAUAAAACACAGGCUUAACUCAAGAUGGGGAAGGGUGUAGGCAAGAACUCCGUGCAGGGGCUCACGGAUGCAAAGCAUCUCAAGGUGUCCACUGUGCCUGACCCAGGUGCUCAGAAAGUGCAGAAGGGAGGCUUCUUCCUCUUCUGGUGGCCUAUUGAUCCACCUGGCUCAAGGGCAGACACUGUAGGAAAUUCCCCAGUAGACUACCUAGAUGGGCUUCAUUUUCCAAAUAGCCGUACGAAAUGUUGGCUAGGACGUGGGGACUUUGAGGGGUCUGGGAGAAGUUCCCACUUUGGAGUGGAUGAACUGGUCUCUUGCCAGGAGAGCCAGCGUCCUGCUGAGCACAAGGAUGGGUGCCCAGAGCCAGAGUAGAGCUUGACAAUGUUUCCCUGGAGCUAGAGACACAGUUCUGGGAAAGGAUCAUUAGGCUCUACCCCCUAGGGGCAUGGAUGGGUGACUGAUACUGGAGAAGAAGCUAAAUUUGAUUUUAUUCUUCCCCUUGAGGCAGCCUUGUACCUCCCCAGCCCUCACAAUAGGACUCUGAAUCUGCAGUGUGAAUCUGCAGUACAGCUUGGUUUUAUUCAGCAUAGCGGGCGUCUAUCCUCUGGGUCAUUGUUCAUUGUUUAUCUCAGAUUCCUUUUCUCAUAGAGUGCACUGUUCUUAGAAGGAUUUUUUUUUUUUUAGCAUGAAAUGAGGUAGAACUCACAAUAGGCUUUGUAGGCAUACCUUUGGUCCUGGUUAUUAAAGUCUGUCCCUGUACUUCUCCCUCCCCCUUGGUUCCUUUCUGAUCUCCUUUUGAUUUGCAUGAGAUCUGCCCCCAGAUCUUUUCCUUUUUUUCUCUCUACUUUCCAUGCAGGAGAGAAAACCUUCUGAGUUUGACUUAUUUCACUUAAUAUGAUGGUCUUUUAGUUCCAUCCAUUUUCCUGCAAAUGACAUGAUUUUCAUUUUUGUUUACGGCUGAAUAAAACU
This 1684-nucleotide long non-coding RNA is filed under the name Marmota monax (woodchuck). Lineage: Eukaryota; Metazoa; Chordata; Mammalia; Rodentia; Sciuridae. The record is from RNAcentral.